GAUGAACGCUGGCGGCGUGCCUAAUACAUGCAAGUCGAACGCUGGAAAUCUAGCUUGCUCGAUUGAAGGAGUGGCGAACGGGUGAGUAAUACAUAAGCAACCUACCCACGAAGACUGGGAUAAUCUCUGGAAACGGGGACUAAUACCGGAUAGGUAAUCGGAAGGCAUCUUCUGAUUAUUAAAGGUUAAAAACACUGGUGGAUGGGCUUAUGGCGCAUUAGUUAGUUGGUGAGGUAACGGCCCACCAAGACGAUGAUGCGUAGCCGGCCUGAGUGGGUGAACGGCCACAUUGGGACUGAGACACGGCCAAGAAGCCUACGGGAGGGAGCAGAAGGGAAUUUUCGGCAAUGGGGGAAACCCUGACCGAGCAACGCCGCGUGAGUGAGGACGGCCUUCGGGUUGUAAAGCUCUGUUGUAAGGGAAGAACGGUAGAUAGAGAAUAUCUAAAUGACGGUACCUUAACAGAAAGCCACGGCUAACUACGUG
This 486-nucleotide ribosomal RNA is filed under the name uncultured bacterium. Its description in RNAcentral is "partial 16S ribosomal RNA". It matches the Rfam family "Bacterial small subunit ribosomal RNA", at positions 28 to 507 of the family's 1533-position model. The record is from RNAcentral.